RNAcentral lists this ribosomal RNA (163 nucleotides) under Reichardia tingitana. RNAcentral describes it as "5.8S ribosomal RNA". It matches the Rfam family "5.8S ribosomal RNA". Rfam says of the family: 5.8S ribosomal RNA (5.8S rRNA) is a component of the large subunit of the eukaryotic ribosome. Lineage: Eukaryota; Viridiplantae; Streptophyta; Magnoliopsida; Asterales; Asteraceae. The record is from RNAcentral.
UAACGACUCUCGGCAACGGAUAUCUCGGCUCACGCAUCGAUGAAGAACGUAGCAAAAUGCGAUACUUGGUGUGAAUUGCAGAAUCCCGUGAACCAUCGAGUUUUUGAACGCAAGUUGCGCCCGAAGCCAUCCGGUUGAGGGCACGCCUGCCUGGGCGUCACGC